UCGCCUCCUGCCCACUCAGCAUAGGAGGUCCCGCCUGCCCUGUGACCAAAAGUUUAACGGCCGCGGUAUUUUAACCGUGCAAAGGUAGCGCAAUCAAUUGUCUUUUAAAUGAAGACCUGUAUGAAUGGCAUAACGAGGGUUUAACUGUCUCUUUUUUCAGGUCAAUGAAACUGAUCUGUCCGUGCAGAAGCGGACAUAUUAACACAAGACGAGAAGACCCUAUGGAGCUUUAGACGCCCACCAACCGCGAAAAACAGCCUGCCUUAACAGAUGCUCUAAACAACGCGGUCCUGGUACAAACGUCUUCGGUUGGGGCGACCGCGGAGGAGAACAAAGCCUCCGAGAGGAAUGGGAACAAACCCUAAAACCAAGAGCCACAGCUCUAAGUCACAAAAAAUUUGACCGAUAAUGAUCCGGCUUACUGCCGAUCAACGGACCAAGUUACCCUAGGGAUAACAGCGCAAUCCCCUCCCAGAGUCCAUAUCGACGAGGGGGUUUACGACCUCGAUGUUGGAUCAGGACAUCCUAAUGGUGCAGCCGCUAUUAAGGGUUCGUUUGUUCAACGAUUAAAGUCCUAC
Molecule: ribosomal RNA, 578 nt
Filed under: Sardinella aurita (round sardinella)
Lineage: Eukaryota; Metazoa; Chordata; Actinopteri; Clupeiformes; Clupeidae
Description: partial 16S ribosomal RNA
Rfam family: Bacterial large subunit ribosomal RNA
Source: RNAcentral